UCCGUAGGCGGGCAAUUAAGUCAGAGGUGAAAUCCCACAGCUCAACUGUGGAACUGCCUUUGAUACUGGUUGUCUUGAGUUAUGGUGAAGUAGAUAGAAUAUGUAGUGUAGCGGUGAAAUGCAUAGAUAUUACAUAGAAUACCGAUUGCGAAGGCAGUCUACUAACUGUAUACUGACGCUAAUGGACGAAAGCGUGGGGAGCGAACAGGAUUAGAUACCCUGGUAGUCC
This 229-nucleotide ribosomal RNA is filed under the name uncultured bacterium. RNAcentral's name for it is "partial 16S ribosomal RNA". It matches the Rfam family "Bacterial small subunit ribosomal RNA", at positions 568 to 796 of the family's 1533-position model. The record is from RNAcentral.